UGUAACUUUUUCUUUGAAGGAAUUUGAUUUAACAAAAAAAUCUCAAAUCAAUGAUUUGUGAAUAAUAAUUGAAGACUAUCUAUGUCUUUUUUUUUCUUUUGACAAAUUUUAGUUUUUAAUAUAAAUAAGUUAAUCAUCCUUUCAUUUUUAAUAAAAAGAAAAUGUGAAAUUUAAUGCAGCGUUAAAAAAAAUAAUGGAAAUAAAAAAAGAAAACGACAGUGAAGAAGUGAAAAGAGAGAGUGAGAUGAGAGGGUUUCACAAAUUUACUCAUCACUUUCACUGAACAACAGACCAUAACGCACAUUCCUCCUCCAACUCGCUCAUUACUCUAAAGACACCAAUCUCACUUUUUGGUCUCUAGACAACAAAUAGAGGUGGGGAAUCUAUUAUCCUUUCCUUUUUAAGCAAAUUGUCUGCUGUGGGCAUUCAUGAAUGAAUGACAUAAAAUGGUACAUUCAGACACAAGUUUAAAGAAACUUGAAAGAUCAUAGACAAUUAUUUCCUUCUUUAUUGGCUGUCCGAGUUUGCAAAGCCCGUUUGGGGCUAACUUUUCACCUGACUUCCAAAACUACCAAUUCAUCUACUCUUCAAAAGCUAACUGUCUCUCGAAGUUGGAUAUGAUUCAAGCCUUUGUUAUCAUUUUACAAGAAAAAGAGUGCCAAUGCAUCCUCCUUUGACUCACCUCUCAAUAUGACUGCAGCCCAUGUGGCCUUUAUGAUGCUAUCGCCUAUCGAUACACUGCUUGCGUGUCGUGUUGGUAUUUAAUCAUUAGCUCGGUGAUUGAUUUAAACUUUUCAUUAAAUAUUGUAUAAUUAGUCUUAGAAGAUGCAGAUUAAUUUGUUUGACAUUAUGCAUUAAUGUGAAGUUAAAUACAUGCCUAACUGUGAUAAAUUUCGAAGUCAUAGGAACUGUUGGAGUACAGUGUGUGGUGAGGCUCAGUUAGGUGGCUAUGAUUCCUGAGCAUUUUUAGCUGUUAUAUUGUUUAUGAGAUAGAUUUAACUCUGUUAGUAGAACAUAGAAUCACAGUUAAGCUAGUCAAUGUUGGUUCCACUACUUAAGCUGUCUGCUAUCUCUGGUAUGCCAUGUACGUGAGAAUCAUUUAAGCUUUACACUUUCUGUCUAGCUAUCUUUUCAUGUCAUGCGGUCAAAUAAUGAAACCAAAAUGUAAAUUCUUGGAUAAUCUUAUGUGAAUGUUGUACAAAUAAUUUGGUAAAACUCAACAAUACAUUGGUCCCUUUUUUCUUU
This is a long non-coding RNA of Cannabis sativa, 1245 nucleotides long. RefSeq lists it as uncharacterized. The record is from RefSeq and is a predicted model, not a curated record. The transcript has 2 exons. Lineage: Eukaryota; Viridiplantae; Streptophyta; Magnoliopsida; Rosales; Cannabaceae.